Fukomys damarensis (Damara mole-rat) is the source of this 1626-nucleotide long non-coding RNA. The record is from Ensembl. NCBI's taxonomy places the organism in Eukaryota, Metazoa, Chordata, Mammalia, Rodentia, Bathyergidae.
GGAAGUUAUUACAACAAAAUCCCAGAAACAAAGUGGGUGGCUCAAAACAAUCAAGGUUAUUCUCUUGACAUUCUGGAGGGCAGAAAUUCAUAUCCAAGCUGUCAGCAAAGCAGUGCCCCUUCAGAAGCUCUGUAGAAUCCUUACCAGCCUCUCCGCCUUGUAGGUGUAGCUGGCUCGUUGUGUGCCUCAGCCUACAGCUGCUUCACUCCAGCCCCAGCCUCCCUCCUCCUCCUCACGUGGCAUUCUCUGUGUCCAUCUCCUCUUAGGUGCACACAAGUCAUCCGGAUGGAGGCCCACCCCAACACCCUAAUCUUACCUUGGCCAUGUCUACCAAGACCUAUUUCGCAUGGGUGCCACAGGUUAGGAUUUCAGCAUAUAUUUUUUUAAGGACACAAUUCAGCUUGUUCCAAUGACAAAGAAUCCUGACUUCUAGACCUAAAACAAACAGAUGAGCUGCAAAUAAGAACCACGCUACCUGAGCUCUAGGAGACAAAAGUGGCUGUGAAGCACCUAAUAAACUCAGAGCCAGCUGCCGUGACAGCUCUGCACAUUGACACUGCCACAGACUGGUGCAGGUAGUGGGCCCGGCAAUGGCCACAGCUCCCCUGCCACUCUUCCCUCUGCUCUAGCCUGUCACUUAGAAAACAGAAGAUGGCGACAGACCCUCACGUCUCCCCAGGGACCGGCAGGCACUGAGAGCUGUUUUCUCAUACAUCCUCCAGCGUGAGCCGCACGUUAACCUGUGUGCAGAGAGGCCCAGGACCGUCAUCCCAUCUCCCAGCGGUGCAGCUUCAUCGUCUGUCAGAUGGUCUCAGAUACAGAUUUAACCCUCAAAGAGUUCUGGAAGAUUCUGUGCGUGGAGCUAACUGAGAAAUCCUGGGCCAGCGUCUCUCUAAGCACACUGAAAUCCACCUGGGUACAGGACAGAGAUGCUGAAAGCUCUGCAGAGGAGCCUGAGCUACCUGAGUGAUGAAAUUUGUGAUGCUGGUUUAAGAAAUAGAAGAAUGAAAGAUAUGGGGACCAUGAAGAAUAUACAAAUGGAAGAGAGUGUAUGUAACCACAGACUCAGGAAAAGGAGGAAGGGAAUUACUGUGGAUUGGCAAAACUAUGGCAACACAAUUCUACUUUCUCUUCCUCAAACAAGGAAGGCACUUAUAAGAAGAGGACAUUGUAAAUGCCCCUUUUUCAAGCCAGAGAAGUAUCUACCAGAGCUCUCUCUCUCUCUACAUGUGAGGACACAGAGUGAAAAGGCAGAUGUCUACAAGCCAGAGAGUAGCCUCACCACUGACCAGAUCAGCUCACAUUUUGAUUUUGGACUUUCCAGCCUCCUUACUAUAAAAAAUAAAUACUGUUGUUUAAGCCACACUGUCAAUGUUAUUUUGUUAUAGCAGCUCAGAUCAACUAAUACACGCUUAUCAAUGGCUGGUACUUGCCAGAAUUGGAGAAGAAAUUUAAGUACACAGUACCUCAUCUUUAAAUUAAGAUCCUUUUUUGAGUGUGCACUGGUAGCUGCAUUUUAACAAACAUCCCCACACACACAUCACACAUGCCCUACAAAAAUGCAAACAGAUUUAAUUCUAAAUUACAAACUCACAAAUAUUAACCAAAGGUUUAUUCAUUCUCCCU